This 428-nucleotide ribosomal RNA is filed under the name uncultured bacterium. RNAcentral describes it as "partial 16S ribosomal RNA". It matches the Rfam family "Bacterial small subunit ribosomal RNA", at positions 354 to 796 of the family's 1533-position model. The record is from RNAcentral.
GUAGGGAAUAUUGCGCAAUGGGGGAAACCCUGACGCAGCGACGCCGCGUGAGUGAUGAAGGCCUUCGGGUCGUAAAGCUCUGUUGCAGGGGAAUAAAAAAAUGAAGGUACCCUGUGAGGAAGGAUCGGCUAACUUCGUGCCAGCAGCCGCGGUAAGACGAGGGAUCCUAGCGUUGCUCGGAAUCAUUGGGCGUAAAGAGGGCGUAGGUGGCUUGGUAAGUCAGGUGUGAAAGCCCAGGGCUCAACCCUGGAAGUGCAUUCGAUACUGCUGAGCUUGAGUGUCGGAGAGGUUACCGGAAUACCUGGUGUAGUGGUGAAAUACGUAGAUAUCAGGUGGAACACCGGAGGCGAAGGCGGGUAACUGGACGAACACUGACACUGAGGCCCGAAAGCGUGGGGAUCAAACAGGAUUAGAAACCCUUGUAGUCC